This 495-nucleotide ribosomal RNA is filed under the name Craterostigmus tasmanianus. RNAcentral's name for it is "partial 16S ribosomal RNA". It matches the Rfam family "Bacterial large subunit ribosomal RNA", at positions 1831 to 2600 of the family's 2925-position model. Lineage: Eukaryota; Metazoa; Arthropoda; Chilopoda; Craterostigmomorpha; Craterostigmidae. The record is from RNAcentral.
CGUUUUUUGUAUUAAUAAAAAAUAAGGCCUGCUCUAUGAGAGGGUUGAAUGGCCGCAGUAUCUUGACUGUGCAAAGGUAGCGUAAUAAUUAGUCUCUUAAUUGGGGUCCAGUAUGAACGGCUACAUGGGGAGUGACUUUCUUAUUUUUAUAUAAAUUGAAUUUCUUAUUGAAGUGAGGAAACUUUAGUGUACCUAAAAGACAAGAAGACCCUAUUAAGCUUUACUUUAAAAUUUAAACGUAAAGUUGGAGAAAGAUUUAAGUAGGAAGUUUCGUUGGGGCAAUGUUAGUAGAUAAAUACUAAGGUUAGUUAAUUAUUUAAAAAUCUUUUGGUCCAGAAUUUCUGGUUUAUAGAAUAAGUUACUAUAGGGAUAACAGCGUAAUUUUUUUGGAGAGUCCAUAUCGAUAAGGAAGUUUGCGACCUCGAUGUUGAAUUAAAGAACCUUAGGGACGCAAGAGUUUUUAAAGGUAGUCUGUUCGACUAUUAAAACUUUACA